AUACGUAGGGGGCUAGCGUUAUCCGGAAUUACUGGGCGUAAAGGGUGCGUAGGUGGUUUCUUAAGUCAGAAGUGAAAGGCUACGGCUCAACCGUAGUAAGCUUUUGAAACUAAGAGACUUGAGUGCAGGAGAGGAGAGUAGAAUUCCUAGUGUAGCGGUGAAAUGCGUAGAUAUUAGGAGGAAUACCAGUUGCGAAGGCGGCUCUCUGGACUGAAACUGACACUGAGGCACUAAAGCGUGGGGAGCAAACAGGUUUAGAUACCCUGGUAGUCCACGCCGUAAACGAUGAGUACUAGCUGUCGGGGGUUACCCCCCUCGGUGGCGCAGCUAACGCAUUAAGUACUCCGCCUGGGAAGUACGCUCGCAAGAGUGAAACUCAAAGGAAUUGACGGGG
RNAcentral lists this ribosomal RNA (394 nucleotides) under uncultured bacterium. Its description in RNAcentral is "partial 16S ribosomal RNA". It matches the Rfam family "Bacterial small subunit ribosomal RNA", at positions 523 to 918 of the family's 1533-position model. The record is from RNAcentral.